GAAUUAACAACCCAAAUUAAUUUAACCCGGCCCCCGACCCAUUUUUCUAAUCCCGUCCAUUUUACCAUUUAAUCCUGGCCGUUGAUCAUUUUUGAUCAACGACCCACAGCUGCCCUUUCCUUUUUAAUUUGCCAAACCCCCAACCCUAUUUCAUUUUUUUUCAACAUCCUCCUUUGAACCCUCUGCUUCUCUCAAACUCUCUCUAAUACUCAUACCCUAG
RNAcentral lists this long non-coding RNA (220 nucleotides) under Nicotiana benthamiana. Its description in RNAcentral is "long non-coding RNA (NBEN_LNC016213)". The record is from RNAcentral. Lineage: Eukaryota; Viridiplantae; Streptophyta; Magnoliopsida; Solanales; Solanaceae.